RNAcentral lists this long non-coding RNA (2864 nucleotides) under Malus domestica (apple). RNAcentral's name for it is "long non-coding RNA (MDOM_LNC004752)". Lineage: Eukaryota; Viridiplantae; Streptophyta; Magnoliopsida; Rosales; Rosaceae. The record is from RNAcentral.
CUUCGGGUUUAAUUAAAUAGUUUAAUCUUUUAAGGGUCGGUUUUCCUUCAAAUAAAAAGAAUUCAGGUUUAGCAAAUAAAACACAUUGUGAUUACUUGGGAUUGUACUCUUGUGACGGCAAAUCCUUCGUAAUGUACGCUCCACAGGUAAAGAUAAACUUGGUUUCAUGCAUGGCCUGUCUUUUAUUCCCCCUGUGAGCCGUAUACCAAGCCUGUGUGUGUGCAUUGAGUUGUCUUUGUCAGAAACAAAGCGCACAAACAUACAAACCCUAUCGAUUUGAAUACAACUAAAGGAAGUUAACAGCAACUUAUUUUAAGCAAAUAUCUGCGUAAUUUAGUAAUAUAACAUGGAUAACUGCUAGCCGCGGCACACAGUAUGUGACCUUUAACCUUAUCUGUGAUUUUUCUUCUUGUUUUUAACUGAAAAUUUGUCACCUCAAAGAAACGAAAUCCAGAUGUGGAAAAUGGGUUCCGGAGAAAGCUAAUGUGAAUGUGAUGAUGACGAUUAUUUCCAAGAUUGUGGGUGGCUUGUAAGAGUGACUUCAGGUUUUGAGCGGUUUCUUUUAUGCAGGAGUGAUUGACUUUUGCCGUCAAUGGUUCCCUAUCAUUCUAGCUAGGGGUGGAUUUUUUUGCCAAAUUGUCAUGCCAACCGAAUUGCCAACCGUGCCAUACCGAUUUUGUGCCAAAUUUUUUGUACCAAUCAGUAAUUGUAUGGUAUUGUACCGUACCGAAAUUUCAUGGUAUGGUAUUGGUAAUGGAUAUCAUUACCACGGUAUUACCAUAUCAUACCGAAAAUACAAUAUAAUAUAUCAUUUAUAAACGAUAUAAUAGAUAAUUAUAUAACACAUAUUUAUAAUAUUCCAAUAAUUUGAAAAUAAAACCCUACUUAUAUUAGCAUUGUUGUUGGUGACUUUGAUCUCUUGAAAUUGUGGAAAUCAAACACAAAAGAGUUCCUAAUUCUUUCGCAAAUAGCCAAAAUAUCUUUGUAACCCCCACUUCUACUGUUGCUAGUGAAAAUGCAUUUAGCCUAGGAAGGAGGGUUGUGAACCCUUUUAGGGUAUCAUUGACUCCUAAAAUGAUGGAGGCACUAGUGCGUACUAGUGGUUGGCUUAAGGCAAAUGAAGUAAACUUCUACAAUGAAUCAACAGAAGAUAUGCUUCAAUUUUACAAGGAAAUGGAAGAAGAGAAAACAAGAAAGAUAUGCUUUAAUUUUUUUUUAGUAAAUUUGUUAUUAAAUGGUUUUCAACUUUAAUUCUUCUUGCUACUAAUUAAUAUGUUUUCUUUGUUUGUAAUGUAGGCUUGACACAAACUCUUCUACAAGUUCAAUGCCUCCUCCAAAAGCUUCGACAUCUCAAGCUUGAAUAAUUGAUCAAUGAAUUCUCCUUUUUGAAGUUUACUUCCAAUUUUCAUUUGGUUUGAAACUUUAAUUUCUAUUUGGAUUGUUAACUUCUAUUUAUUUUGGUUCGUAACUUCUAUUUGGAUUGUAAGCUUAAUUUUCAUGAUGAAUAUUGAUACAUUAUUUGAAUUAUUAUGUGUGUGAAUUGUGAAUGAUGAAUAAUAGAUGAAUUUAUUCUAUAAUGUAUGAGAUAAAGGUAAAAAAAAAAGUUUUGCCCUUGAAUUGGGUUAAAAAAAAACAAAAACAGAUUUUGUCUCAAAACAAAAUGGCAAUUACCAUUGUCAUACCAUGCCAACCGAACUUUUGGCAAUACUGAACUUCGGUAUACCGAAAGUUUGGUAUGGUAAUGGUAAUAGAUUUUACCAAACCGAAAGUUUAGUACGGCAAUUGGUACAAGGGUUUUGGUACGGUAACCGUAUCGAACCCACCCAUAAUUCUAGCUAUUAAUUUUUUAACAAAUAAUAAUGAAAAUUAUAUAUCCUUGAAAUUCGUGUGUCAGAAUUAGGGUUGAUUUGGGAUUGUAAUACUUUUAGAAAGAAAAAAUUGACAUAAAUAACCUAUUUUUUUAAUCUUGGAACCAAAAUAGGAUUUUUUGAAUAUGCACAGAACAUGCAUACGACAUGCGCAACAAUAGAACAUAAAUUGGAUUUUUCCUAUCCUUGAAAUGACAUAAUUGCCCUCGUAUAUAAAUAGAUUAUUUCUUCCAACCCAGUCAGCAUUUGCAUCUUUCUCCGAAAAUCUCUCUUGCCCAAUUCCUAUCUCAAAGAUCCCUAACCACCAAAUCGUGGGGAAAUGGCGAAUGAGGCUAUUGCUCAAGUUGGAGAUUUCUUCUCAAAUCAUCAUCUUCUUCCCCAAAUUUGAAAUCUUAUUCAAAACCCAUAUGGGUCCAUCUAGUUGUAUUUUGCAAAAUCUCAUUGUAUUUUGUGAAAUCCCAUCCAAAUUCGAAACCCCAAAUUCGAAAUCUCAUUCUAUCCCUUUGUCUUCUUCUCCGUUGAUUUCGUCGGAUUCGGGCUCGUCGUCAACAGUUUGGGAAGAGGGAAUGUCAUUGGAAAAGACAAUUUCUUACAGAAAAUGACUCAUUUAUAGGGCUCGUCGUCUUCUUUUGUGUGUUUAGUGAAUGAUUUAGGGAAUGUCGUCGUCUUAUUCCUGCCACCGGCCUCUAGCUUCUGCUUGGGGUCGGUGGCAGCAACCUUUUCAAACAUGUUUUCCUCCUCCUCCUCCGUCUCUUUAACCUUCUCUUCCUGCCCAACACCUACAGUGGCUUCCCUUUUCCUUCUGGAAUUUGGGGAUCUACAAUUGUUCUCUGGAAGUGUUGGAAAUUUGAAUAGUUUGAGUAAAAAUUUCUUUGUCCCACAUUGGCCAUUCCCAAAAGAUUUUAUCACUUUAUAAGGCUUUGUUCUUUAUAGAAAGUGAUUGGAGUAAUAGGCCUGAAGAAUAAAAUUGGGCUCGCUCUUGGGGUUGGGCUUUGG